Molecule: ribosomal RNA, 320 nt
Filed under: uncultured eukaryote
Lineage: Eukaryota
Description: partial 18S ribosomal RNA
Rfam family: Eukaryotic small subunit ribosomal RNA
Source: RNAcentral
CCCCUAGAUGUUCUGGGCCGCACGCGCGCUACACUGAACAGUUCAACAAGUCUUAACCUUGGCCGAUAGGUCUGGGUAAUCUUUGAACGCUGUUCGUGAUUGGGAUAGACCUUUGCAAUUAUGGGUCUUCAGCGAGGAAUUCCUAGUAAACGCAAGUCAUCAGCUUGCAUUGAUUACGUCCCUGCCCUUUGUACACACCGCCCGUCGCACCUACCGAUUGAAUGGUCCGGUGAAAUCUCGGGACGGCGGCUUGGUCGCUUGCGUCCGACUGCUGAAACUUGAUUAAACCAUAUCAUUUAGAGGAAGGUGAAGUCGUANCA